RNAcentral lists this ribosomal RNA (379 nucleotides) under uncultured eukaryote. RNAcentral's name for it is "partial 18S ribosomal RNA". It matches the Rfam family "Eukaryotic small subunit ribosomal RNA", at positions 592 to 976 of the family's 1831-position model. The record is from RNAcentral.
CAAUAGCGUAUAUUAAAGUUGUUGCGGUAAAAAAGCUCGUAGUUGGAUUUCUGUUGAGAGCGACCGGUCCAUACCAUGUAUGCGUAUCUGGCUUGCUCUCGGCAUCCUCUCGAUAGACGUUACUGCGCUUGAUUGCGUGGUGCGGAUCUCGGGACUUUUACUUUGAGGAAAUUAGAGUGUUCACGGCAGGCUUUCGCCAGAAUACAUUAGCAUGGAACAAUACUAUAGGAUCUUGGUUCUAUUUUGUUGGUUUCUAGAAUUGAGAUAAUGAUUAAUAGGGACAAUUGGGGGCAUUCGUAUCAACACGUCAGAGGUGGAAUUCUUGGAUUGUGUUGCGACGAACUACUGCGAAAGCAUUUGCCAAGGAUGUUUUCAUUGA